Non-coding RNA from Monodelphis domestica (gray short-tailed opossum), 3025 nucleotides. The record is from RefSeq and is a predicted model, not a curated record. Lineage: Eukaryota; Metazoa; Chordata; Mammalia; Didelphimorphia; Didelphidae.
AAGGGAUCUGAGCUUUGUAUCCCAUUAUUGCCGUGAGUUAUCUGGAGGAUGAGGGUAUAAUACUACUUAUCAAGCAACACCAAGUUUGUUUACGUUCUAAGGUGGCACUGGAAAAACCAAAGCUUCCGGACAGAGAAGCUCCAGACAAGUCUCGAAAAUCAAGAAGGUGGAAAAGCAGCUGCUCAGGAAGACAGGAUUAACCCUGCUGCUUCUGGAUUAGGAAGAGAAAGAAACUUUUCCCUCAGAUGAAGAGGGGGCAAGGGAGUAUAGGGGAGGCAGUUCUAGUAUAGCUCUGGGAGUCCAAAGAUCUUUAGCGCUGGAAGGGGGCUCAAAGACCAUCUAAUCUACAUCGUCUUACAGAAGAGGAAACUAAGGGUGAGUUCUCCAGAUCCAGGACUCUCUCGGUCGCUGGAAGAGAGCGCGGGAAGGUGAUUCACGGAGGAAAGCCGAGCUCAAGGGCGACCACGAAUUCCGACACGGAGAUCUGGUCCGGCAUCGCCUCGGCCGGGACUCGAGCAGGGGGCACAGGCUGGGGUGAGCCGCCUCCACUGGCGACCCCUGAAGGAGGAUGGAAAGGAAGAGCCCAGCCGACCGCGACCUCGGGGACCCGGCCGCCGCCCCCUGCAGCCGCCCGAGCCUGCGGUUUCCCUCGCCCCAGCGACGCCCGGACAAAGGGAAACCCCAGCGCCGGCCGCCGCGGAGCCCGCCCUGCCCGGAGAGGGCCCGGGGCUGCUAGCCCGAGAGAGCGGGCUCAAAGCAACUCGUCCUCACUUCCAGCUUAGCCCCGGAGCCUCGGGAAGCUGCAGCCCUGGAAGCGCCUCGGCGACUCUCGCCUCCUCCCUCGUGUACGCUUUGGGGCCGUGGUUGUCGCCGCCGCCACCUCUCUGGCUCCCCUAGCCAGCAGCACUUCCCUCCUACCCGCUCGUCUUUUUUUUUCUUCUUUUUCUGAAUGAGACCCCGAAGCAGGCGCAUAGAGCCAGAGCGGGAACUACCCGCCACCCAGACUCGAGCACCUACUCCACCGCGGAGGAGGAGGAUGGAGGUGGGAGGGGCCGGAGUUCGAGGGCCGGAGGCAGGGCUGGGGAGGGGCGGGGACGGCAGCUCCGAAGAGAACUGCCAAUCACCGACCUCUCCGAGCCGCUGGAAAUCUAAUCCACCUGGAAAAAAAAAAUAGGGAUGGGAGGGGGAACUCAGGGUGGGCACGAUGGAGGCGUCCAGACUCGAUCCCCGAGCCCCAGCAUAGUCUAUGGAUACUUUCGGUGUUCUACUCCUUCCCCCACCCCCACCCCAGCAGUGCAAAUCCUAGAGCACAGUCAGAGCGUUUGGGGCCGGGCUUUCAGGCUGUAUCUGAGGGUUAGUACUCCGCCCCUUGCCCCGCCAGCUGUGCCUAAGCGUUCAAUGCUCCUCCCCUCCCCCUCGUUGUUUGAGUGUCCCGGGUCCCCCUCCCCGAGAGCGUGCGGCCCUUCGGACUCUUCCCCGCCCCCUACUCCCACCCCUAAGCUGGGUCUGAGAGUUCGGGAAGCUUUCCUUCCCCCAUCCCCAAGUGGUGGCCGCGAUCUCCAGGGAACUUCGAUUCCCUCUCCAGUGAGUUACCGUCUCCUCCCUUCUCCAAGGUCUAAGUACAUUUCUAAGUCUCUUCCCUGGUGCUCUAAAGUAUGGGAGGGGUGUGUAUGUUUCUGUUUUACGUGCACAUGCGUUAACAAACCCUAGAGUCCAAGCCAGAGUCCACCCCUAUUUCACCCUAACCCCACCCCUUUGGAGGAACCUCGCUUAUGCCUGUGUUCUCCCAUCACAAAGAGGACAAAUCCCUUUGCCUUAGAUUAAUAGUUUGAAGAUUGAGUCCCCUGAAUGAGAAUGAGCUACUCCCACUCAGUACAGCAUCCAAACGUCUCUCCGAUUCUUUUCCUCCUACCCUUCCUCAUUGUCCAAAAUUCACCUUGUCCUUAGAGGUAGAGGGAUCCUAGUUCUGGUGCCUCACGUCCCAGUAGUAUGCACUAAAUCCCGAGCUAUUCUCAAAAUGGUGCCUGUUGCUAGUUAGUUGUCUUGAAGUUAUGAAUGGCCGUUCGGUAAUAAGACAGACGAACGAUUACGUAAGAUGACAGAUUUAGAGCAGGAAGGACUUUUGAGGUCAUCUAGUCUAAUCUCGGCAUUUUACAGAAGAAGGUGCAUAGAGGUCAAAUUGUCCUAGGUCAUGAGGUCUCAAGUGUCAUGGUCAAGAUUCGAACCUAUGUCUUCUAACUCCAGAGUCUGAGCUCUUGAAAUUGUUUUAUGAAAUAUCAUAUUUACUUAAGUUUGAAUGUGAAAUCUCACUCGGAAGACCCUGUAAUAAAAUACUGCAGUGGGUAUUCCAGGAGGAAGUGGAGGAAAGUGGGGGAGGAGUGUUGUGGAUGACUGAAGAAGGUGGUUUUUCUCUUCAGGUAUGGCAGGGCCAUUAAGUAAAGGACCAGAAUUCAUUUGCAACAGCAGGAAAAUUUCAUAACAAAACCAGAUUAGCAAAAGAAAACAAAAUCCAGAAAAAGAGACUUUGUGUGUGUGUGCUUGAUAACUUUUGCAGAAAUUCCCACCCUUACCAAAAAAAAUCCCAAAGCUCUAAAGACAUUUCAUACUGGAGAAAUAUAUGCCUGGUUUUGUUUUAUAACUUACUUCAAAGUCACAUCUUUUAAGUUUUUACUAGGCCUGCCGAAUGGUUUGUGUUGCUACUAGCAAUAAAACCAAAACCAUCUUUACAGAAAUACUUUUUUGCAUCUGAAAAAGGAGGAUGUGUGAGAGAGACUAGUAAUGUAGUCUGACAGACUUAUAAACCUCAGGCAGAGAGGACAGACAACUCCAGCAGCAUUCAUUAAGUACCCAUCCAUCUAUGUGCUAUGUGAGGCAGAGCUCUGGUUGGUAGUGAUGACAUUAUCCUUGCUGACAGUUUAUCAGGAUUCUUCAUUAGCUAUAAUUUUGGUGUAAAAGUUUUAAUGCUGACUUAUCCUUACAUUUGGCAGCAAACUGUAAACUAUAGUAAAUGUCUCCCUGUUCCAGA